RNAcentral lists this ribosomal RNA (253 nucleotides) under uncultured bacterium. RNAcentral describes it as "partial 16S ribosomal RNA". It matches the Rfam family "Bacterial small subunit ribosomal RNA", at positions 524 to 776 of the family's 1533-position model. The record is from RNAcentral.
UACGAAGGGGGCGAGCGUUGUUCGGAUUUACUGGGCGUAAAGGGCGCGUAGGCGGCUAUUCAAGUCAGGCGUGAAAGCCCCCGGCUCAACUGGGGAGUGUCGUGCGAUACGGUCGAACUGGAGGCCAGUAGGGGGAUGCGGAAUUCCGGGUGUAGUGGUGGAAUGCGUAGAGAUCCGGAGGAACACCAGCGGCGAAGGCGGCAUCCUGGACUGGUCCUGACACUCAUGAGCGAAAGCGUGGGGAGCGAUCCGG